This 1388-nucleotide ribosomal RNA is filed under the name Burkholderia pseudomallei. RNAcentral's name for it is "partial 23S ribosomal RNA". It matches the Rfam family "Bacterial large subunit ribosomal RNA", at positions 1 to 1429 of the family's 2925-position model. Lineage: Bacteria; Pseudomonadati; Pseudomonadota; Betaproteobacteria; Burkholderiales; Burkholderiaceae. The record is from RNAcentral.
GUUAUAGGGUCAAGCGAACAAGUGCAUGUGGUGGAUGCCUUGGCGAUCACAGGCGAUGAAGGACGCGGUAGCCUGCGAAAAGCUACGGGGAGCUGGCAAACGAGCUUUGAUCCGUAGAUGUCCGAAUGGGGAAACCCGGCCCUUUUGGGUCAUCCUAGACUGAAUACAUAGGUCUAGUGAGGCGAACGCGGUGAACUGAAACAUCUAAGUAACCGCAGGAAAAGAAAUCAACCGAGAUUCCCAAAGUAGUGGCGAGCGAAAUGGGAAGAGCCUGUACUCUUUAUUUGUAUUGUUAGCCGAACGCUCUGGAAAGUGCGGCCAUAGCAGGUGAUAGCCCUGUAGGCGAAAACAGUAUGAAAGAACUAGGUGUACGACAAGUAGGGCGGGACACGUGAAAUCCUGUCUGAAGAUGGGGGGACCAUCCUCCAAGGCUAAAUACUCGUGAUCGACCGAUAGUGAACCAGUACCGUGAGGGAAAGGCGAAAAGAACCCCGGGAGGGGAGUGAAAUAGAUCCUGAAACCGCAUGCAUACAAACAGUCGGAGCCUCUUCGGGGGUGACGGCGUACCUUUUGUAUAAUGGGUCAGCGACUUACGUUCAGUAGCAAGCUUAACCGAAUAGGGCAGGCGUAGCGAAAGCGAGUCCGAAUAGGGCGUUCAGUUGCUGGGCGUAGACCCGAAACCAGGUGAUCUAUCCAUGGCCAGGAUGAAGGUGCGGUAACACGUACUGGAGGUCCGAACCCACUAACGUUGAAAAGUUAGGGGAUGAGCUGUGGAUAGGGGUGAAAGGCUAAACAAACCUGGAAAUAGCUGGUUCUCUCCGAAAACUAUUUAGGUAGUGCCUCGUGUCUCACCUUCGGGGGUAGAGCACUGUCAUGGUUGGGGGGUCUAUUGCAGAUUACCCCGCCAUAGCAAACUCCGAAUACCGAAGAGUGCAAUCACGGGAGACAGACAUCGGGUGCUAACGUCCGGUGUCAAGAGGGAAACAACCCAGACCGCCAGCUAAGGUCCCCAAAUAUGGCUAAGUGGGAAACGAAGUGGGAAGGCUAAAACAGUCAGGAGGUUGGCUUAGAAGCAGCCACCCUUUAAAGAAAGCGUAAUAGCUCACUGAUCGAGUCGUCCUGCGCGGAAGAUGUAACGGGGCUAAGCCAUAUACCGAAGCUGCGGAUGCGAGCUAGUCUCGCAUGGUAGGAGAGCGUUCCGUAAGCCUGCGAAGGUGCGUUGAAAAGCGUGCUGGAGGUAUCGGAAGUGCGAAUGCUGACAUGAGUAGCGAUAAAGGGGGUGAAAGGCCCCCUCGCCGUAAGCCCAAGGUUUCCUACGCAACGUUCAUCGGCGUAGGGUGAGUCGGCCCCUAAGGCGAGGCAGAAAUGCGUAGCUGAUGGGAAGCAGG